RNAcentral lists this ribosomal RNA (917 nucleotides) under Erysipelothrix sp. CE10. RNAcentral describes it as "bacterial SSU rRNA". It matches the Rfam family "Bacterial small subunit ribosomal RNA", at positions 60 to 977 of the family's 1533-position model. Lineage: Bacteria; Bacillati; Bacillota; Erysipelotrichia; Erysipelotrichales; Erysipelotrichaceae. The record is from RNAcentral.
AGUCGAACGAAGAAGCAAGCUUGCUUGCUUCUUAGUGGCGAACGGGUGAGUAAUACAUAAAUAAUCUACCAUAAUGACUGGGAUAACCAAUGGAAACGUUGGCUAAUACCGGAUAGGUAAAACGAGGGCAUCUUUGUUUUAUUAAAGUAGGGCAACUACACAAUAUGAUGAGUUUAUGGCGCAUUAGCUAGUUGGAGAGGUAACGGCUCACCAGGGCGAUGAUGCGUAGCCGACCUGAGAGGGUGACCGGCCACACUGGGACUGAGACACGGCCCAGACUCCUGCGGGAGGCAGCAGUAGGGAAUUUUCGGCAAUGGGCGCAAGCCUGACCGAGCAACGCCGCGUGAGUGAAGAAGGCCUUCGGGUUGUAAAGCUCUGUUGUAAGGGAAGAACACUUUUUAGAGGAAAUGCUAGGAAGCUGACGGUACCUUACCAGAAAGCCACGGCUAACUACGUGCCAGCAGCCGCGGUAAUACGUAGGUGGCGAGCGUUAUCCGGAAUUAUUGGGCGUAAAGGGUGCGUAGGCGGUUUAUUAAGUCUGUGGUGAAAGUGCGGGGCUCAACCCCGUAUGGCCACAGAAACUGAUCGACUAGAGUACAGGAGAGGGCAGUGGAAUUCCAUGUGUAGCGGUAAAAUGCGUAGAUAUAUGGAGGAACACCGGUGGCGAAGGCGGCUGCCUGGCCUGUAACUGACGCUGAGGCACGAAAGCGUGGGGAGCAAAUAGGAUUAGAUACCCUAGUAGUCCACGCUGUAAACGAUGAUUACUAAGUGUUGGAGAAAUUCAGUGCUGCAGUUAACGCAAUAAGUAAUCCGCCUGGGGAGUAUGCACGCAAGUGUGAAACUCANGGAAUUGACGGGACCCCGCACAAGCGGUGGAGUAUGUGGUUUAAUUCGAAGCAACGCGANAACCUUACCAG